RNAcentral lists this ribosomal RNA (421 nucleotides) under Clostridioides difficile. Its description in RNAcentral is "bacterial LSU rRNA". It matches the Rfam family "Bacterial large subunit ribosomal RNA", at positions 1946 to 2365 of the family's 2925-position model. Lineage: Bacteria; Bacillati; Bacillota; Clostridia; Peptostreptococcales; Peptostreptococcaceae. The record is from RNAcentral.
CGGUCCUAAGGUAGCGAAAUUCCUUGUCGGGUAAGUUCCGACCCGCACGAAAGGCGUAACGAUUUGGGCACUGUCUCAACAACAGACUCGGUGAAAUUGUAAUUCCGGUGAAGAUGCCGGAUACCUGCGACAGGACGGAAAGACCCCAUGGAGCUUUACUGUAGCUUGACAUUGGGUCUUGGUACUACAUGUACAGGAUAGGUGGGAGGCUUUGAAACCAGGACGCCAGUUUUGGCGGAGCCAUCCUUGGGAUACCACCCUUGUAGUACUGGGACUCUAACCAUAGGCCAUGAAUCUGGUCUUGGGACACUGUCAGGUGGGCAGUUUGACUGGGGCGGUCGCCUCCCAAAAGGUAACGGAGGCGCUCAAAGGUUCUCUCAGUACGGUCGGAAAUCGUACGUAGAGUGUAAAGGCAAAAGAG